Molecule: non-coding RNA, 458 nt
Organism: Pelobates cultripes (western spadefoot toad)
Lineage: Eukaryota; Metazoa; Chordata; Amphibia; Anura; Pelobatidae
Source: the annotation of a GenBank genome assembly
UGUAUGGUAAUUAUGACUAGGUGGGUAGUUGGAUGGCAAUAAGUGCAUGGUGGGUGGUGUUAGCUGACAGGUUACUAUCUGACUGGGUGCAAAGGGAAAUAUGACUGUUUCGGAGUUUGUGGCUGGUUGGGUGGCUGAAUAGCAAUGCAUAUGUAGGAGCAUAUAUGUGUGUUAGUGACUGCAUCUGAAUGAUGCAUGCAUUUGUGUAGAGUGCUAGUUUGUGAAUUUAGUGCUGUGUUUUUAUAGCGUGCCAGUGUUUAUGCAGGAGCAUAUUUGUGUUCAUGAAUAGUUUCUUGGUGUGCCUGUGCACUGUGUUUCCAAUUCCCAUUUGCCCCUCUUUAUCUUUCCAUCAAUUUCUCCCUCACUUUUUUUCCACCUUCCCCAAGUUAUGCCUCCUUUUCUCCAAUUGUUCCCAUCUUCUCGUUCCUUCUCUGUCCUCACUUGUUCCCACUGCCCUC